GUUAAAAAGCUCGUAGUCGGAUUUCAGGAUUAGUUGUCGCCCUAUUACUGGGUUGUACUUCUACCCUUCCUAACGAACAGCUAUCAUUUCAUUUAUUUGAUGUGGUAGUCUAUCGUUUCUUUUACUUUGAGAAAAUUAGAGUGUUCAAAGCAGGCUUCUGCCCGAAUAUUACUCUUGGAAUAAUACUAUAGGACCUUGGACUUAUUUGAUGGUGAGUAGGACUGAGGUAAUGAUUGAUAGGGACGGUUGGGGUCAUUCGUACUGUAAAGCGAGCGGUGAAAUGCUUGGACCUUUAUAUGACGACCUACUGCGAAAGCAUUUGACUAGGACGUUCCCGUUGAUCAAGAACGAAAGUUGGGGGAUCGAAGACGAUCAGAUACCGUCGUAGUCUCAACCAUAAACUAUGCCAGCUAGGGAUUGGAAGUCGAUCUUAUUUAUGACACUUUCAGCACCUUAUGAGAAAUCAAAGCAUUUGGGUUCCGGGGGGAGUAUGGUCGCAAGGCUGAAACUUAAAGGAAUUGACGGGAGGGCACCACCAGGAGUGGAGCCUGCGGCUUAAUUUGAUUCAACACGGGAAAACUUACCAGGUCCGGACAAAGUAAGGAUUGACAGAUUGAAAGCUCUUUCUUGAUUCUUUGGGUGGUGGUGCAUGGCCGUUCUUAGUUGGUGGAGUGAUUUGUCUGGUUAAUUCCGUUAACGAACGAGACCUCAGCCUGCUAAAUAGUACUGUCAUUCUGAAUGGCAGCGACUUCUUAGAGGGACUACUUAUGCUAUACUGAGCGGAAGCUGGAGGCAAUAACAGGUCUGUGAUGCCCUUA
RNAcentral lists this ribosomal RNA (818 nucleotides) under uncultured marine eukaryote. Its description in RNAcentral is "SSU rRNA". It matches the Rfam family "Eukaryotic small subunit ribosomal RNA", at positions 618 to 1475 of the family's 1831-position model. The record is from RNAcentral.